GUAGGGAAUCUUCCACAAUGGGCGCAAGCCUGAUGGAGCAACACCGCGUGAGUGAAGAAGGGUUUCGGCUCGUAAAGCUCUGUUGUUAAAGAAGAACACGUAUGAGAGUAACUGUUCAUACGUUGACGGUAUUUAACCAGAAAGUCACGGCUAACUACGUGCCA
This 164-nucleotide ribosomal RNA is filed under the name uncultured bacterium. RNAcentral describes it as "partial 16S ribosomal RNA". It matches the Rfam family "Bacterial small subunit ribosomal RNA", at positions 354 to 510 of the family's 1533-position model. The record is from RNAcentral.